RNAcentral lists this ribosomal RNA (1144 nucleotides) under Campylobacter jejuni. RNAcentral's name for it is "partial 23S ribosomal RNA". It matches the Rfam family "Bacterial large subunit ribosomal RNA", at positions 1778 to 2925 of the family's 2925-position model. The record is from RNAcentral. Lineage: Bacteria; Pseudomonadati; Campylobacterota; Epsilonproteobacteria; Campylobacterales; Campylobacteraceae.
UACAACAAAGAGUCCCUCCCGACUGUUUACCAAAAACACAGCACUCUGCUAACUCGUAAGAGGAUGUAUAGGGUGUGACGCCUGCCCGGUGCUCGAAGGUUAAUUGAUGGGGUUAGCAUUAGCGAAGCUCUUGAUCGAAGCCCGAGUAAACGGCGGCCGUAACUAUAACGGUCCUAAGGUAGCGAAAUUCCUUGUCGGUUAAAUACCGACCUGCAUGAAUGGCGUAACGAGAUGGGAGCUGUCUCAAAGAGGGAUCCAGUGAAAUUGUAGUGGAGGUGAAAAUUCCUCCUACCCGCGGCAAGACGGUAAGACCCCGUGGACCUUUACUACAGCUUGACACUGCUAUUUGGAUAAGAAUGUGCAGGAUAGGUGGGAGGCUUUGAGUAUAUGACGCCAGUUGUAUAGGAGCCAUUGUUGAGAUACCACUCUUUCUUAUUUGGGUAGCUAACCAGCUUGAGUUAUCCUCAAGUGGGACAAUGUCUGGCGGGUAGUUUGACUGGGGCGGUCGCCUCCCAAAUAAUAACGGAGGCUUACAAAGGUUGGCUCAGAACGGUUGGAAAUCGUUCAUAGAGUAUAAAGGUAUAAGCCAGCUUAACUGCAAGACAUACAAGUCAAGCAGAGACGAAAGUCGGUCUUAGUGAUCCGGUGGUUCUGUGUGGAAGGGCCAUCGCUCAAAGGAUAAAAGGUACCCCGGGGAUAACAGGCUGAUCUCCCCCAAGAGCUCACAUCGACGGGGAGGUUUGGCACCUCGAUGUCGGCUCAUCGCAUCCUGGGGCUGGAGCAGGUCCCAAGGGUAUGGCUGUUCGCCAUUUAAAGCGGUACGCGAGCUGGGUUCAGAACGUCGUGAGACAGUUCGGUCCCUAUCUGCCGUGGGCGUAAGAAGAUUGAAGAGAUUUGACCCUAGUACGAGAGGACCGGGUUGAACAAACCACUGGUGUAGCUGUUGUUCUGCCAAGAGCAUCGCAGCGUAGCUAAGUUUGGAAAGGAUAAACGCUGAAAGCAUCUAAGCGUGAAGCCAACUCUAAGAUGAAUCUUCUCUAAGCUCUCUAGAAGACUACUAGUUUGAUAGGCUGGGUGUGUAAUGGAUGAAAGUCCUUUAGCUGACCAGUACUAAUAGAGCGUUUGGCUUAUCUUUAUAAAGCAU